RNAcentral lists this transfer RNA (76 nucleotides) under Planctomycetota bacterium. RNAcentral's name for it is "Planctomycetes bacterium (sediment metagenome) tRNA-Thr". It matches the Rfam family "tRNA". Rfam says of the family: Transfer RNA (tRNA) molecules are approximately 80 nucleotides in length. Their secondary structure includes four short double-helical elements and three loops (D, anti-codon, and T loops). Lineage: Bacteria; Pseudomonadati; Planctomycetota. The record is from RNAcentral.
GCUGGUGUAGCUCAGCAGGUAGAGCACCUCCUUGGUAAGGAGGAGGUCCUGGGUUCAAUUCCCAGCACCAGCUCCA